AAGGCCAGGAGGUAAUAAAGGGCAUGAUAAAAGGGAGAUACAUUUACCAUGCUCUCUCGCUCUUCCACCUCCAUCUACAGACACCACCACCAAGCUUCUGAAGUGCUGAUCAAAGAGGAGAAUCUAGCUGAAGGGCAACCAGCCAGCCUGUGGUGAGAAGCAUCUAAGUUUGUAAGGGCCCUGAAAGAGUUAAGAUCAGGUUAGAAUGUGUUUUGCUUUUCUUUCAUUGACCAAAUCUGACUUCUUGUGCUUUGACUUAUAAUCACUUAAAACCUAUCUUCUGUAGUUAAUACAUUUGUU
Dermochelys coriacea (leatherback sea turtle) is the source of this 300-nucleotide long non-coding RNA. RefSeq lists it as uncharacterized. Lineage: Eukaryota; Metazoa; Chordata; Testudines; Dermochelyidae. The record is from RefSeq and is a predicted model, not a curated record. The transcript is spliced from 3 exons.